GCUAUUAAAAAUGGUGGUACAAAAAUGUGCAAUGUCUCUUAAAAAAAAAUAUAUAUAUAAAACUCUCCUCAAAAAUAGCAAUUCCUCCCCAAAAAAUGAACUACUGCGUAAAAUCCCAAAAUCAACAUUCAAUUUCCAACAGUCAAUACUCCACAUGUAGCCUCUGUUGUCGACUCCGCCCAUGGCGUCAGUUCCUCCACUUUUGGUGAGGCCCUUUCUCCUUAGCUUUCCAUUGAAUCUCUUUCUCUCCUCACGUUCGUCCUCUGGAAGAAGAAGGCAGCGUAACGUUGGGUUUUCACCAACAAAGAAUUCAGCAGGAGAAGUUCCACCCCCAUUAGUUUUCAAUGAGGGCCCGCAGAGAAAUGUGUUGGGGAUUGUGGCGAGGAACCCUUCUAGCGGAGCAGUAGAAAAAGUUGAGCUCUGCUCUAUUUUAUGCAAAUUUCAAGCGAAGCGAAGAGGAGGCGUAGCCUCUGGUGUAAACCCACUUGUGUUAGCAUCCAAGGGAGAAAACGUGUUACUUCCGCUUGUCAUCCUCCCUCGUCCGCUGUCAGGCGUGAGGAGACAGUGAUGCAAUGCGUCCCGCUCCCUGUCCCAGAAGCCCUGUCACCUGAAGGAAGUGGCAUUAACCACCCUGGACAGCCAGCCACCACUGGGCUGCUGUUGUGGAAUCGUGAUGAAACCAUAUGGAGACUGGGCGGUGUAAAUGACUUCUUAGGAGUGCAGCGAGAUGUGAAGGACGGACUGACAGGAGACGGGAGCGCGGCAAGCACACUAAUGAGCUACAUGCUUCACACCGAGACACGGGGGAGAGAGAGAACGAGAGGGAGAGAGAGAGAGAGGGGGAGGGAGGGAAAUUGGUAGUGAGAGGAGGACAGAAGAAAGAGAGUGAGAGAAAGGGAGAGAGAAGAGAGGGGGAUGAGGGAAGGAAUGAGGACGAG
This 938-nucleotide long non-coding RNA is filed under the name Salmo salar (Atlantic salmon). RNAcentral describes it as "lncRNA (ENSSSAG00000094972.1)". The record is from RNAcentral. Lineage: Eukaryota; Metazoa; Chordata; Actinopteri; Salmoniformes; Salmonidae.